GUCUUAACUGUCUCUUGCAGGCAAUCAGUGAAAUUAGUAUUCCCGUGCAAAAACGAGAAUGUGACCAUAAGACGAGAAGACCCUGUGGAACUUUAAAAUUGCGAUCACCUUCUCCACCUAACACUAUCCACCGGAUUCACCCGUGAUAAACNCUUGGUCGACAUUUUUCGGUUGGGGCGACCUUGGAGAAAAACAAAUCCUCCAAAUCCAUAGACCAUCACUCUUCACCAAGAUAUACCCAUCAAAGUACAAACAGUAACCCAGACCCAAUACAAUUGAUCAAUGGACCAAGCUACCCCAGGGAUAACAGCGCAAUCUCCUCCAAGAGCCCAUAUCGACAAGGAGGUUUACGACCUCGAUGUUGGAUCAGGACAACCUAUUGAAUCCUAGCUUGAACGGGCCUAGAAAUCAACACCCUAGCCAUCAUCCCCCUCAUCUCCAAGACCCACCACCCCCGAGCAAUCGAAGCCACAAUCAAAUAUUUCCUCACCCAGUCAACUGCAUCAGCCUUAAUCUUAUUUUCAAGCUUAUCUAACGCCUGAUUUACUGGCCA
RNAcentral lists this ribosomal RNA (553 nucleotides) under Tetrastes bonasia (hazel grouse). Its description in RNAcentral is "partial 16S ribosomal RNA". It matches the Rfam family "Archaeal large subunit ribosomal RNA", at positions 2086 to 2636 of the family's 2987-position model. Lineage: Eukaryota; Metazoa; Chordata; Aves; Galliformes; Phasianidae. The record is from RNAcentral.